UACGUAGGGUGCAAGCGUUAAUCGGAAUUACUGGGCGUAAAGCGUGCGCAGGCGGUUUUGUAAGUCUGUCGUGAAAUCCCCGGGCUCAACCUGGGAAUUGCGAUGGAGACUGCAAGGCUAGAAUCUGGCAGAGGGGGGUAGAAUUCCACGUGUGAGCAGUCGAAAUGCGUAGAGAUGUGGAGGAACACCGAUGGCGAAGGCAGCCCCCUGGGUCAAGAUUGACGCUCAUGCACGAAAGCGUGGGGAGCAAACAGG
RNAcentral lists this ribosomal RNA (255 nucleotides) under uncultured bacterium. Its description in RNAcentral is "partial 16S ribosomal RNA". It matches the Rfam family "Bacterial small subunit ribosomal RNA", at positions 524 to 776 of the family's 1533-position model. The record is from RNAcentral.